AUUGAACGCUGGCGGCAGGCCUAACACAUGCAAGUCGAGCGAGCGGCGGACGGGUGAGUAAUGUCUGGGAAACUGCCCGAUGGAGGGGGAUAACUACUGGAAACGGUAGCUAAUACCGCAUACCAUCGGAUGUGCCCAGAUGGGAUUAGCUAGUAGGUGGGGUAACGGCUUACCUAGGCGACGAUCCCUAGCUGGUCUGAGAGGAUGACCAGCCACACUGGGACUGAGACACGGUCCAGACUCCUACGGGAGGCAGCAGUGGGGAAUAUUGCACAAUGGGCGCAAGCCUGAUGCAGCCAUGCCGCGUGUAUGAAGAAGGCCUUCGGGUUGUAAAGUACUUUCAGCGGGGAGGCGUUACCCGCAGAAGAAGCACCGGCUAACUCCGUGCCAGCAGCCGCGGUAAUUC
RNAcentral lists this ribosomal RNA (406 nucleotides) under uncultured bacterium. Its description in RNAcentral is "partial 16S ribosomal RNA". It matches the Rfam family "Bacterial small subunit ribosomal RNA", at positions 30 to 526 of the family's 1533-position model. The record is from RNAcentral.